GACGAACGCUGGCGGCGUGCUUAACACAUGCAAGUCGAGCGGUAAGGCCCUUUCGGGGGUACGACGAGCGGCGAACGGGUGAGUAACACGUGGGUGACCUGCCCUCAGCUCUGGGAUAAGCCUGGGAAACCGGGUCUAAUACCGGAUAUGACUCCAUGACGCAUGUUGUGGGGUGGAAAGCCUUGUGCGGCUGAGGAUGGGCCCG
RNAcentral lists this ribosomal RNA (205 nucleotides) under uncultured bacterium. RNAcentral's name for it is "partial 16S ribosomal RNA". It matches the Rfam family "Bacterial small subunit ribosomal RNA", at positions 28 to 233 of the family's 1533-position model. The record is from RNAcentral.